This 508-nucleotide ribosomal RNA is filed under the name uncultured bacterium. RNAcentral describes it as "bacterial SSU rRNA". It matches the Rfam family "Bacterial small subunit ribosomal RNA", at positions 15 to 518 of the family's 1533-position model. The record is from RNAcentral.
GAUCAUGGCUCAGGACGAACGCUGGCGGCGUGCUUAACACAUGCAAGUCGAACGGGGAUUAAGUUGGAAAGGCUUCGGCCCGGAAGACUUAAUUCGAGUGGCGGACGGGUGAGUAACGCGUGAGCAACCUGUCCCAGACAGGGGGAUAACACUUGGAAACAGGUGCUAAUACCGCAUAAGACCACGGGGUCACAUGGCUCUGGGGUAAAAGGAGCAAUCCGGUUUGGGGUGGGCUCGCGUCCGAUUAGAUAGUUGGUGAGGUAACGGCCCACCAAGUCGACGAUCGGUAGCCGACCUGAGAGGGUGAUCGGCCACAUUGGAACUGAGAGACGGUCCAAACUCCUACGGGAGGCAGCAGUGGGGAAUAUUGGGCAAUGGGACGAAAGCCUGACCCAGCAACGCCGCGUGAGUGAAGAAGGCCUUCGGGUUGUAAAGCUCUGUUAUAGGGGACGAAGGAAGUGACGGUACCCUAUAAGGAAGCCCCGGCUAACUACGUGCCAGCCGCCGC